GUAGGGAAUAUUGGGCAAUGGAUGCAAGUCUGACCCAGCCAUCCCGCGUGCCGGAAGAAGGCCCUCAGGGUUGUAAACGGCUUUUGACGGUGAAGAAUCGACAGGAUGCGUCCUGUUUUGACGGUAGCCGUUGAAUAAGCACCGGCUGACUCCGUGCCAGCAGCCGCGGUAAUACGGAGGGUGCGAGCGUUGUCCGGAUUUAUUGGGUUUAAAGUGUGCGUAGGCUGGAAGGUCAGUCAGCGGUGAAAAGCUGUCGCUUAACGAUAGUCUUGCCGCAGAUACUUCCUUUCUUGGAUGAGGAGGAGGCCACUGGAACGGAUGGUGUAGCGGUGAAAUGCAUAGAUAUCAUCCAGAACACCGAUUGCGAAGGCAGGUGGCUGUACCUUAAUCGACGCUGAUGCACGAAAGCAUGGGGAGCAAACAGGAUUAGAAACCCCUGUAGUCC
RNAcentral lists this ribosomal RNA (445 nucleotides) under uncultured bacterium. RNAcentral's name for it is "partial 16S ribosomal RNA". It matches the Rfam family "Bacterial small subunit ribosomal RNA", at positions 354 to 796 of the family's 1533-position model. The record is from RNAcentral.